AGACGGAGAGCAGGGAUGAAAGGAAGGGAAAUAUAGAGUAAAGAAAAGAAGAAUAAAGAAACAGACGACUGAAGAGAAGCGGGAGCCCAGUGGGAGUAAGUCGGGAAGCCUGUGCGGCCGUCCCCGUGAGAGCCACACUCACUGUUGUUUGAUCUCAACAGUUGUGUUAAUACGAUGUAGCUUAAAGAUGUCGCCUGGUGAAGUGUUUCUUGCUAAGUAAAGUCAUCCAGUCAGUCAUUCCAGCAAUCAGUCAGUCACGGAAGGAAAACAAUAAAGAGGGAAACGGAUGCUGCGCCGCAAGCCGUCGCGAGGAUUUCUUUGGAUGGUUGGGCGCGUUCCCUUCGGCCUUCCGUCCCAGAACGGUGGACGCUGUGAUCGGCGACUUUUCCCUAUUUGUUUUUAAUUUCAUAAUCGAGUCUGGUAGUUUUAUUAAGCGAGAUCCUGCAUCUUCCCAUCCUCGCCUCGGCGGGGUGCGAAGCGCCAGCGAGCCCAAGGUCUCCCUGGCGAGCAUGGCAGGAAUGGAGAUCUCCCGGCAGGGCGCCUCGGCGUCCCCCGGGGCCUCCACGGAGGUGCCGGAGAUCUGCCGGCUACAAGCCCGGGCAGGUGCGGCUGGUUAGCCGUGGUAGGCAAUUCACCUAGAAGAGCAAACUCCGAACAACAAACCCGGGCAGGUGGGGCUCGUUAGCCGUGGUAGGCAGUCUGCCUAGGAGAGCAAACUCCGAACAACAAACCCGGGCAGGUGGGGCUCGUUAGCCGUGGUAGGCAGUCUGCCUAGGAGAGCAAACUCCGAACAACAAACCCGGGCAGGUGGAGCUCGUUAGCCGUGGUAGGCAGUCUGCCUAGGAGAGCAAACUCCGAACAAUAAACCCGGGCAGGUGGAGCUCGUUAGCCGUGGUAGGCAGUCUGCCUAGGAGAGCAAACUCCGAACAACAAACCCGGGCAGGUGGGGCUCGUUAGCCGUGGUAGGCAGUCUGCCUAGGAGAGCAAACUCCGAACAAUAAACCCGGGCAGGUGGAGCUCGUUAGCCGUGGUAGGCAGUCUGCCUAGGAGAGCAAACUCCGAACAAUAAACCCGGGCAGGUGGAGCUCGUUAGAUGUCGUAGACAUCCACGUGAUGGGAACACCAAAAUGAAAAGGAGAAUGAAAAAGAACACCAGAAUAAUGAAAAUGUCGAAACGAAACACCAAGAAAACAAAAUAUGAAACAGAUCAUCCACCUUUCGGCCCUAAUUAACAUCACCAAAAUUAUGGGUGGGUCUUUUCUGGGGAGAAAAAGGCUCAUCCGGACCCAAGAACAUCAGAACGGAUGAUACAGAAAAGAUAAAAAACCAACAUUAAGAAAAGGAGAAAAAAACAUCAUCCACCUUUCGGCCCCAAGUAACAUCACAAAAUUAUGGGUGGGUCUUUUCUGGGGAGAAAAAGGCUCAGCCAGCCCUAAGAACAUCAGAACGGAUGAUACAGAAAAGAUAAAAGACCAACAUCAAGAAAAGAAGAAAAAAACAUCAUCCGCCUUUCGGCCACAAGUAACAUCACAAAAUUAUGGGUGGGUCUCUUCUGGGAGGAAAGCGGCUCACCCAGACCAACGAACAUCAACAAAAGGAUGAUAUAGAAAACAACAAGAGUAAGAAAAUGAACAGAAUAACAUCGAAAA
Long non-coding RNA from Eriocheir sinensis (Chinese mitten crab), 1649 nucleotides. RefSeq lists it as uncharacterized. The transcript has 2 exons. Lineage: Eukaryota; Metazoa; Arthropoda; Malacostraca; Decapoda; Varunidae. The record is from RefSeq and is a predicted model, not a curated record.